This 460-nucleotide ribosomal RNA is filed under the name uncultured bacterium. RNAcentral describes it as "partial 16S ribosomal RNA". It matches the Rfam family "Bacterial small subunit ribosomal RNA", at positions 338 to 795 of the family's 1533-position model. The record is from RNAcentral.
CCUACGGGAGGCAGCAGUGAGGAAUAUUGGUCAAUGGACGAGAGUCUGAACCAGCCAAGUAGCGUGAAGGAUGACUGCCCUAUGGGUUGUAAACUUCUUUUAUAUGGGAAUAAAAUGUUCCACGUGUGGGAUUUUGUAUGUACCAUAUGAAUAAGGAUGGGCUAACUCCGUGCCAGCAGCCGCGGUAAUACGGAGGAUCCGAGCGUUAUCCGGAUGUAUUGGGUUUAAAGGGAGCGUAGGUGGAUUGUUAAGUCAGUUGUGACAGUUUGCGGCUCAACCGUAAAAUUGCAGUGGAAACUGGCAGUCUUGAGUACAGUAGAGGUGGGUGGAAUUCGUGGUGUAGCGGUGAAAUGCUUAGAUAUCACGAAGAACUCCGAUUGCGAAGGCAGCUCACUGGACUGUAACUGACACUGAGGCUCGAAAGUGUGGGUAUCAAACAGGAUUAGAUACCCUAGUAGUC